This 2902-nucleotide ribosomal RNA is filed under the name Escherichia coli. Its description in RNAcentral is "bacterial LSU rRNA". It matches the Rfam family "Bacterial large subunit ribosomal RNA". The record is from RNAcentral. Lineage: Bacteria; Pseudomonadati; Pseudomonadota; Gammaproteobacteria; Enterobacterales; Enterobacteriaceae. RNAcentral also lists the same sequence under 1 other name.
UUAAGCGACUAAGCGUACACGGUGGAUGCCCUGGCAGUCAGAGGCGAUGAAGGACGUGCUAAUCUGCGAUAAGCGUCGGUGAGGUGAUAUGAACCGUUAUAACCGGCGAUUUCCGAAUGGGGAAACCCAGUGUGUUUCGACACACUAUCAUUAACUGAAUCCAUAGGUUAAUGAGGCGAACCGGGGGAACUGAAACAUCUAAGUACCCCGAGGAAAAGAAAUCAACCGAGAUUCCCCCAGUAGCGGCGAGCGAACGGGGAGGAGCCCAGAGCCUGAAUCAGUGUGUGUGUUAGUGGAAGCGUCUGGAAAGGCGCGCGAUACAGGGUGACAGCCCCGUACACAAAAAUGCACAUACUGUGAGCUCGAUGAGUAGGGCGGGACACGUGGUAUCCUGUCUGAAUAUGGGGGGACCAUCCUCCAAGGCUAAAUACUCCUGACUGACCGAUAGUGAACCAGUACCGUGAGGGAAAGGCGAAAAGAACCCCGGCGAGGGGAGUGAAAAAGAACCUGAAACCGUGUACGUACAAGCAGUGGGAGCCUCUUAAUGGGGUGACUGCGUACCUUUUGUAUAAUGGGUCAGCGACUUAUAUUCUGUAGCAAGGUUAACCGAAUAGGGGAGCCGAAGGGAAACCGAGUCUUAACUGGGCGUUAAGUUGCAGGGUAUAGACCCGAAACCCGGUGAUCUAGCCAUGGGCAGGUUGAAGGUUGGGUAACACUAACUGGAGGACCGAACCGACUAAUGUUGAAAAAUUAGCGGAUGACUUGUGGCUGGGGGUGAAAGGCCAAUCAAACCGGGAGAUAGCUGGUUCUCCCCGAAAGCUAUUUAGGUAGCGCCUCGUGAAUUCAUCUCCGGGGGUAGAGCACUGUUUCGGCAAGGGGGUCAUCCCGACUUACCAACCCGAUGCAAACUGCGAAUACCGGAGAAUGUUAUCACGGGAGACACACGGCGGGUGCUAACGUCCGUCGUGAAGAGGGAAACAACCCAGACCGCCAGCUAAGGUCCCAAAGUCAUGGUUAAGUGGGAAACGAUGUGGGAAGGCCCAGACAGCCAGGAUGUUGGCUUAGAAGCAGCCAUCAUUUAAAGAAAGCGUAAUAGCUCACUGGUCGAGUCGGCCUGCGCGGAAGAUGUAACGGGGCUAAACCAUGCACCGAAGCUGCGGCAGCGACACUAUGUGUUGUUGGGUAGGGGAGCGUUCUGUAAGCCUGCGAAGGUGUGCUGUGAGGCAUGCUGGAGGUAUCAGAAGUGCGAAUGCUGACAUAAGUAACGAUAAAGCGGGUGAAAAGCCCGCUCGCCGGAAGACCAAGGGUUCCUGUCCAACGUUAAUCGGGGCAGGGUGAGUCGACCCCUAAGGCGAGGCCGAAAGGCGUAGUCGAUGGGAAACAGGUUAAUAUUCCUGUACUUGGUGUUACUGCGAAGGGGGGACGGAGAAGGCUAUGUUGGCCGGGCGACGGUUGUCCCGGUUUAAGCGUGUAGGCUGGUUUUCCAGGCAAAUCCGGAAAACCAAGGCUGAGGCGUGAUGACGAGGCACUACGGUGCUGAAGCGACAAAUGCCCUGCUUCCAGGAAAAGCCUCUAAGCAUCAGGUAACAUCAAAUCGUACCCCAAACCGACACAGGUGGUCAGGUAGAGAAUACCAAGGCGCUUGAGAGAACUCGGGUGAAGGAACUAGGCAAAAUGGUGCCGUAACUUCGGGAGAAGGCACGCUGAUAUGUAGGUGAAGCGACUUGCUCGUGGAGCUGAAAUCAGUCGAAGAUACCAGCUGGCUGCAACUGUUUAUUAAAAACACAGCACUGUGCAAACACGAAAGUGGACGUAUACGGUGUGACGCCUGCCCGGUGCCGGAAGGUUAAUUGAUGGGGUUAGCGGUAACGCGAAGCUCUUGAUCGAAGCCCCGGUAAACGGCGGCCGUAACUAUAACGGUCCUAAGGUAGCGAAAUUCCUUGUCGGGUAAGUUCCGACCUGCACGAAUGGCGUAAUGAUGGCCAGGCUGUCUCCACCCGAGACUCAGUGAAAUUGAACUCGCUGUGAAGAUGCAGUGUACCCGCGGCAAGACGGAAAGACCCCGUGAACCUUUACUAUAGCUUGACACUGAACAUUGAGCCUUGAUGUGUAGGAUAGGUGGGAGGCUUUGAAGUGUGGACGCCAGUCUGCAUGGAGCCGGCCUUGAAAUACCACCCUUUAAUGUUUGAUGUUCUAACGUUGGCCCGUAAUCCGGGUUGCGGACAGUGUCUGGUGGGUAGUUUGACUGGGGCGGUCUCCUCCUAAAGAGUAACGGAGGAGCACGAAGGUUGGCUAAUCCUGGUCGGACAUCAGGAGGUUAGUGCAAUGGCAUAAGCCAGCUUGACUGCGAGCGUGACGGCGCGAGCAGGUGCGAAAGCAGGUCAUAGUGAUCCGGUGGUUCUGAAUGGAAGGGCCAUCGCUCAACGGAUAAAAGGUACUCCGGGGAUAACAGGCUGAUACCGCCCAAGAGUUCAUAUCGACGGCGGUGUUUGGCACCUCGAUGUCGGCUCAUCACAUCCUGGGGCUGAAGUAGGUCCCAAGGGUAUGGCUGUUCGCCAUUUAAAGUGGUACGCGAGCUGGGUUUAGAACGUCGUGAGACAGUUCGGUCCCUAUCUGCCGUGGGCGCUGGAGAACUGAGGGGGGCUGCUCCUAGUACGAGAGGACCGGAGUGGACGCAUCACUGGUGUUCGGGUUGUCAUGCCAAUGGCACUGCCCGGUAGCUAAAUGCGGAAGAGAUAAGUGCUGAAAGCAUCUAAGCACGAAACUUGCCCCGAGAUGAGUUCUCCCUGAGACUUAGAGUCUCCUGAAGGAACGUUGAAGACGACGACGUUGAUAGGCCGGGUGUGUAAGCGCAGCGAUGCGUUGAGCUAACCGGUACUAAUGAACCGUGAGGCUUAACCUU